Molecule: long non-coding RNA, 1147 nt
Filed under: Fragaria vesca (wild strawberry)
Lineage: Eukaryota; Viridiplantae; Streptophyta; Magnoliopsida; Rosales; Rosaceae
Description: long non-coding RNA (FVES_LNC004467)
Source: RNAcentral
GAUCAAUUAGAUAUCAUGUCCCUUUUAUGUUAUAAUUUUAGGUUCUGUACAGAUUCCUUUCUUGUUUGAGCAUUGUCAUGCUGCAGGCUUGGUUUGCUGUCAGUAUUAUAUUUUGGUCAUGAUAUAUCUUCCUCUCAAGUUGUGUCAUCAAUAUAUGACACUUGAAAUACAGUGAAGCUAGUUACUUAGUCUAAAGAAUACAUAUGUACUUUUGAAAGUUUUUGAGGAUGUUUAGAAUGUGAAACAACCAAGUAGUACAUUUAUUUGAGGUAGUUGGUUUUGUUGUUAGAAUAGUGUAAUAAUUUAGGUGCACAUAUGAACUGCAUUUAUUGGAGGAAAUUGUGUGUGUGUUGUUUUUUUUUCCUGAAUAGAGCAUAAUGAAUGAUUAGUGAGAUUUGUAGUUAGGCUUUGUUCGGGCACAUGAUAGCCCGUAUUUUCUGUGGAUUUUCUCUCUUUUUUUGGCGAGCUAAUUUCAGGAUGUAGAGGCUAAAAGAAAAGUGUAAUUUUCAACGUAGCUUUCAACAUUAAGCAUUUCUGGUUGAAGAAACCUCUUUUCAUAGAAUAUAGACCCAAUGGAUAAUUCUGCUCAAGGAGUUUAUAGUACCAUCAAAUGUCUUGGAUAUCCAUGAGAUACCCUAGGCUGUAAAUUUUUUCUACAGCGACCCUAAGCUGUAUGUGUGAUGUGAUUAAUGUCUAUUUCGUUUGCUACUGAAAGUGGUGUUUCUGUAUGCUUUUGUUGUAUUGUUUCUUUUUCUGUUUGCUUUUCUCUAAAUUGAAGUUAAGUGUUGAAUGUUGGAGUGACAUUUGUGUAUUUUUCUGUUUUGUAGUGAUCACAGCAUAGCAUUAUAUGACUUGCGCAUGGGGAAACCGACAACGAAGCUUAUCAUGGCGGUAUUGUUACUAUAUUGGUUCUAAAUUUUAAUUUGGUGCUGGCUGUUUUUAAACUUCCCUUUCUUACUUUUAAUGUGGUUUGUGGUUAAAUUAGUAAACCUUGUUUCUUGAAGGGGAGCUUUGCGCUUCUAACUUGUAUUUUCUUUUGACAGACAAAUACAAAUUCUAUUUGUUGGAAUCCAAUGGAGCCAUUCAACUUCACUGCUGUGAGUGCACUUAUUUACGUUUUAUCUUUUGCAAAUUGUUCGGACUUCGG